This 1334-nucleotide long non-coding RNA is filed under the name Gossypium barbadense (sea-island cotton). Its description in RNAcentral is "long non-coding RNA (GBAR_LNC019411)". The record is from RNAcentral. Lineage: Eukaryota; Viridiplantae; Streptophyta; Magnoliopsida; Malvales; Malvaceae.
CCGAAUUAAGUUGGAAGUGCAUCCUCGAUAAUGAUAUGCAAGAGUUAUGAAUCGGCAGGUCUUUUCUUGGUGGUGUAUGGGUAAUACUCUUUGCCUGUGUCUAUUCUUGUUGUCUGACCUCCAGCAUCAAUCACAGCAGAGGUGACAGCCAGUGCUGUUCCGGCAGAAAUGGCUGUUGAGAUGCUCCUGCCUGCGAAAUGGACAGCACCUUAAUGCAUUUAUUGAACAUUAACAAGUAGACAAUCAAACUGACCGACAUUAACAUGGAUAGAGAAACCAAGCUGGAAUUCAAUAAUCCACAUAUGACAACGAGAGUCCCCUUUGUUCUCCUUUAAACUACAAGUUAUGGAAACCCUGUCCAAAACAAUGCUUUUACAUGACCCUACACCACAAAAGAUAAAAUUCAGUCCCCUCCUUCCCCUGCUCUCCACUCAAGGAUUUUAUCACAACUUAUCUUACUCAAUUCUUAUUGUCAAGUCAUUAUAGACUCCCCAGACAAACAAGCAACAGCAGUAAUGUACAAUUCAUGCAUUUCAGAAAGAAGAAUUUAAAAAUCUUAAACUAAAAGGAAACUAUAGGAUAAUCAGAAGAAUAGAUUUUUUACAUUUACAUGCCACAUAACUCCUACCACUUUAUAAAUAACAACUACGUAAACGGUUUAAGAAAAACCAAUGAGAAACAAAAAUGAUUCUAAGCAACAAAGAAGAAUGUGAGUAUAACUUUAGCACCAUUGUACGGAUGGUGGUGGAGAUCCAAAGAACCAUCACAAGCUUCAAUUUUGAAGAGGUAAAGCUUUCUAAGAAAGCCAUCAUCCAUAUCACUGAAACACAAAAAUUAACAUGAUCUGGUAUGGAUGUAGAAUAUAUACACAGUAUAGUUUUCAUUUGCCAGCCCAAAAGAGGGGUCUUUUGAGUAUCUCACAAAGUUUUCUGUACAUUAAUAUUGCAUAAGAAACAUCCAAGCUACAUCAUAUUUUCAUAAUUGGUUUCUUUACAAAUUAAUAAAAUCAGAUAGCAGGUUUUAAAAUGCACUAAAUAUUCUAACUGCCUAAAUAAAUAUUUACCUUUGAAACCAAGAAUGGAAGCCCCAGCCACAAAACCACCAACAGCACCGUUGACAAAGGAUCUUUUCAUCCUAUAAUUCUGCAACAGCUGCUCAACACCAAUAUAGACUCCGCCAAUGGCAGCAAAUGUCAUUCCAUAAUUGCCCAUCAUCUUCAGUGUCCUUACAAGCCCUGGUAAGGCAACACUUCUCUCAACACGAGGCACAUCAUACCAUGUAGCAACAACAGUUCCCCAGAUAGUUCCAGCAACAAAACCUGUAGUUGCACCCUU